Molecule: long non-coding RNA, 479 nt
Organism: Ctenopharyngodon idella (grass carp)
Lineage: Eukaryota; Metazoa; Chordata; Actinopteri; Cypriniformes; Xenocyprididae
Exons: 4
Source: RefSeq, a predicted model, not a curated record
CUCAAUUAAAUAGUGUACAUUUCUCCAUGUUAUUUUCUUGAUUAAUAACAGGGAACACUGAGACCAAAUGGAUGGACACUAAAACAUGAGAGCAUGAUGAAUAAUCUGAGAGUGACAUUACUGUCCUGUGGUGGAAUCCAUCAGGAGGACUAGCAUUUGACCCCAUCUGACCUUCACUUCCUUCAGCUCCAUCUGCCCAGAGGUCAGCAGUGCAUGAUCACACAUGAGAGAAAAAUCAAGUGAGAGACUGGAGGCCAGAGAAACUUUACACUGCUGUUGUGAGACUGUUAUCAGUGCUCAUGUCGGCAGGAACUGCAUCUAAACCCUGCUGUAAGACUUCAAUAUAAAUCUACUACAAGAUGAAGUUGGCAUUUCUCCACAUGAGAUCCGACACAUUUACAUCUACAUUAUUGAGUCAUUUAGCAAACGCUUUUAUCCAAAGUGACUUGCAAAUGAUGAACAUCACAAGCAAAUCAAAG